This 253-nucleotide ribosomal RNA is filed under the name uncultured bacterium. Its description in RNAcentral is "partial 16S ribosomal RNA". It matches the Rfam family "Bacterial small subunit ribosomal RNA", at positions 524 to 776 of the family's 1533-position model. The record is from RNAcentral.
GACAGAGGGUGCAAACGUUGUUCGGAAUUACUGGGCGUAAAGGGCUCGUAGGCGGCCAACUAAGUCAGACGUGAAAUCCCUCGGCUUAACCGGGGAACUGCGUCUGAUACUGGAUGGCUUGAGGUUGGGAGAGGGAUGCGGAAUUCCAGGUGUAGCGGUGAAAUGCGUAGAUAUCUGGAGGAACACCGGUGGCGAAGGCGGCAUCCUGGACCAAUUCUGACGCUGAGGAGCGAAAGCCAGGGGAGCAAACGGG